UACGGGGGGGGCAAGCGUUGUUCGGAAUUACUGGGCGUAAAGGGCGCGUAGGUGGCCUUCUAAGUUGAACGUGAAAUCCCUGGGCUCAACCCAGGAACUGCGUCCAAGACUGGGAGGCUUGAAUCCGGGAGAGGGAUGCGGAAUUCCAGGUGUAGCGGUGAAAUGCGUAGAUAUUGGGAGGAACACCGGUGGCGAAGGCGGCCCCCUGGACCGGUACUGACGCUGAGGCGCGAAAGCGUGGGUAGCAAACGGG
This 253-nucleotide ribosomal RNA is filed under the name uncultured prokaryote. Its description in RNAcentral is "partial 16S ribosomal RNA". It matches the Rfam family "Bacterial small subunit ribosomal RNA", at positions 524 to 776 of the family's 1533-position model. The record is from RNAcentral.